This 443-nucleotide ribosomal RNA is filed under the name uncultured bacterium. RNAcentral's name for it is "partial 16S ribosomal RNA". It matches the Rfam family "Bacterial small subunit ribosomal RNA", at positions 338 to 795 of the family's 1533-position model. The record is from RNAcentral.
CCUACGGGCGGCAGCAGUGGGGAAUAUUGGACAAUGGACGCAAGUCUGACCCAGCAACGCCGCGUGAAGGAUGAAGGUCUUCGGAUUGUAAACUUCUAUGAAUAGGGAUGAAAACAAUGACGGUACCCCAAUAGCAAGCCCCGGCUAACUACGUGCCAGCAGCCGCGGUAAUACGUAGGGGGCAAGCGUUAUCCGGAAUGACUGGGUGUAAAGGGUGAGUAGGGGGCAUAGUAAGUUAGAUGUGAAAUUCCUGGGCUCAACCUAGGAAUUACCUCUAAAACUAUUAGGCUAGAGUGCAGGAGCGGUAAGCGGAAUUCCUGGUGUAGCGGUGGAAUGCGUAGAUAUUAGGAAGAACACCAGUGGCGAAGGCGACUUACUGGACUGAAACUGACGCUGAGGCACGAAAGCGUGGGGAGCAAACAGGAUUAGAUACCCCUGUAGUC